AAUUCCCAACCAUUUCAGCUUUUUCUAGCUGAUUUAGGCUUGGAUGUGGGAGUUUGCGGGCUUCUCUGAAGUCGGCUCUCCUUAAAUAUAUUAGUAGGGACCUCUGUUGCCUCAGCUCUUGGUGUGAUAGUUAUCUACGCCAUUCUGCGAAGCAGCUUUAAAAUGGGGUUACUGCUUUCUAACAGUCUCUACCGAGACAACUUCUGACA
This 209-nucleotide unclassified non-coding RNA is filed under the name Tricholoma vaccinum. Its description in RNAcentral is "partial internal transcribed spacer 2". Lineage: Eukaryota; Fungi; Basidiomycota; Agaricomycetes; Agaricales; Tricholomataceae. The record is from RNAcentral.